AUGGCGGACCGACUGGCGGUUGGGUUGGCGAAAUCGGUGGUGGUGGGGGCGAUCAGCAAGAUCGAGUCGGCGAUCGAGGAGGACACCAAGCUCCGGCAGAAGGCGCACUGUGACCUUGUGUCCAUCACUCUCGAGUUCGAGAUGAUUCAGUCCUUCCUUGACGUCGCCAAGGAGGAGAGCAUCAUGAAUAAUAUGGUGAGGACCUGGGUGAGGCACGUCCGUGAAUUGGCCUAUGACCUCGAAGACUGCAUCGAGUUCGUUAUCCAUUUGGAUAGCAAGCGAAUAUUCUGGCGCCGGUUGUUCAAGCCUUGCAUGGCACUGGCAGGCCGGUCGCUGCCACUGGACCAGGCCGUCGAGGAUUUAGCAGAGCUCAAGGGCAGAGCUGACGAGUUGAGCAAGUGUUACUUGCGCUACAGCAACAUCACCGGCUCUGUUGCCUCCAAGUUGGUCAUGAUGCAGAAACAACAAGGAGUCUCCAGCGCAAUAGCACUCGAUAUGCUCCUCAAGGCAAGGGAUGCCGCGGAUGGGCAGAAAUGCACAGGGGAUCUCACCCAGCUGAUCACUCAAAAUGGUCAUCCCAAUGGUGACCUCCAAGUUAUCUCGGUGUGGGGAUCAGAAGGCAACCAUGGGACCACAUCUGUCAUCAUGACGACCUACAAUGCCUCAGAGAUCCGCAAUAGCUACACCUACAGGGCCUGGGUGAAGCUCAUGCGUCCGUUCAAUCCACAUGACUUCGUCCGCAACUUGAUGGCUCAGUUCUUCGAAAGCUGUUUCAAAGAACAAAGAGCAAGCACCAUAGGUGUACAAGUCCUAACCAAGAUGGAUCAGGCCACCCAAUCUCAAUCAGAUCUCCGCAAGGAGUUCGAGCAGCUGGUUACAGAGAAGAGGUACCUCGUUGUCUUGGAAGAUCUCUCAAACAUGGCAGAGUGGCAUGCUGUCAGGACCUUUCUUCCUCACAGUAAGAACGGCAGCCGCAUCAUUGUGUCCACAAAGGAGUCAGAAAUGGCAUGCUUGUGCAUUGGCGAUUCUUACCAGAUAUUGGAGUUGAUGCACUUCUCACCCGAGCACUCUGUUUGUGCCCUCUUCAAGAAGGGUUCUAGUAGUGGCGAUGAAGAUAAAGGCAAGAAACCAAUGGUGCAGGGUUCAAUCCUCAUUGGACGUGAGUCACAAAUGAAUGAACUUCGUAAAUAUCCAGCAAUUGCACGUAUGUCAUCUUCCCAAGUUAUGUCUGUCUGGGGGAUAGCAGGUGUGGGGAAGUCAGCCCUCGUCAGAGACUUGUGCAAUAUUGAUGACACAAAGCAACCUGAAGAGAAACUAUUUAAUAGGUAUUGUUGGGUGAAUGUAUCUCAUCCAUUCAAUUUGAAGUACUUCUGUCAGGAUUUACUUUCGGAUUUUCACUCAGAAAAAGAUCCCAUUAAAGAGUGUCACCAGCUUCUAAUACAAGACCGUUGUCUCAUUGUUAUUGAUGGUAUACGCUACAAAAAGGAAUGGGAUUUGAUAAAAAAAUCCAUGGUACCUAGAUCCUCUAAGAGUGUUAUCAUUGUCAUUACAACUGAAGCAAGUAUAGCCACAUACUGUGCAAAUAACAGACAGCUCGUGUUCAAUGUCAAAGGUCUAGAAGCUGCUGCAGCCUUUGAUCUCUUCAAACAGGAGGUACGCAAGACCUCACUCAAGCUGGAGACACCAUCAGCGGAUCCAUCAUCCUCACUCAAGCUGGAUACACCAUUGAGGGAUCCAUCAUCCUCACUCAAGCUGGAUACACCAUCGGGGGAUCCAUCAUCCUCACUCAAGCUAGAUACACCAUCGGAGGAUCCAUCAUCCUCGCUCAAGCUGGAUACACCAUCGGGGGAUCCAUCAUCCUCACUCAAGCUAGAUACACCAUCGGAGGAUCCAUCAUCCUCGCUCAAGCUGGAUACACCAUCGGCGGAUCCGUCAUCCUCACUCAACCUGGAUACACCAUCGGCGGAUCCAUCAUCCUCACUCAAGCUGGAUACACCAUCGGCAGAUCCAUCAUCCUCUGUAGUAGAUUGGUGUGAAGCUGAGGAGGUUAAAGAACUAAUUUUGAAGUGUGGAGGCCUUCCCAAAGUGAUAGUUGCUAUAGCAUGUGCACUGGCCAAACAGACAGUCACACGGAUGGAUACAAUUCUUGCUUUGAAUCGGAGACUUAUGCACCACCUGGAGACCGAGCCGGACUAUGAUAGUCUACACGAUUUAUUUGGUUGGAUGCAUUCCUACUUCCGUACCUGCCCAGAUUCUCUCAAGCCGUGUAUCUUCUACAUGUCAAUUUUUCCUCAAGGCCAGAUCAUAAGGCGGAGGCGACUAAUAAGGCGCUGGAUUGCAGAGAGCUACUCCAGGGAAGACAAUGAAGAAUCUGCAGAGGAGAACGGAGAGCGGCAAUUCUCUGACCUCCUUGAUCUGAGCAUGAUACAGCAGGUACCACAGCUAGUCACCACCGCAGAAUUCAAUGACAGAAAGAUGGCCUUGUGCAAGUUCAACAGUUUCAUCCGUGAGUACAUCAUCCCGCUGCGGAAAGAAGAAAACCUUGUGUUUGAGCUGGGGGGUAAUUGUGCAUUAACCACCCAGCGCACAGGGCGUCACCUCGUCAUAUUGGACGACUGGGACAGAGACAGAAUUGUAUUUGAGAACAUCGACUUCUCACGGCUGCGAUCACUCACAGUGUUUGGGAAGUGGAAAUCAUUCUUCAUAUCUGAGCGUAUGAAGCUGCUUCGGGUCCUUGAUCUGGAGGAUGCAACAUCAGAUAUAACGGCUGGCGAUCUCAAGAAGGUAGUGAAACGGCUGUGUCGCCUCAAGUUCCUCUCUCUCCGAGGGCAUACUGAGAUCGAUCAUCUACCAAGUUCAUUAGGGGAUCUCAGGCAGCUCCAGACCUUGGACGUCAGGGACACCUCCAUAGUGACUCUGCCUGCGAGCAUCACCAAGUUAAAGAAGUUGCAGUACAUUCGUGCCGGCCGUGGCACCACCGUCUCAGCACUACCUGCUUCAUCCUGCUGGUUGCCCGAUUUCUGCAAGUGCCGUCAACUAGUUGGUGUUCAAGUGCCCGGGGAAAUUGGGAAUCUGACAGGGCUGCACACGCUCGGUGUUGUCAAUGUCGCUGCUUCAGGGGGGAGGGCUGCCAUAAAAGAGAUCAAGAAGCUCAGCCAGUUGCGGAAGCUCGGAGUGUCCGGCAUCAACAAACAUAGCAAAGACUUCUUCUCUGCAAUCUCGGUUCAUGUGCAUCUGGACUCCUUGUCAGUGCAGAUGGACAUUGAAGGCUGCUUGGAUGAUAUCCUCCUGCCUCUGAAGAACCUGCGGAGCCUUAAAUUGUAUGGACUCGGUAACAAGUUGCCAGAGGGGAGCGGCCAGCUUAGCAAGCUCCAAAAAUUGGAUUUGGAGAUGGACAGUUUAACAGAAAAUGACAUGACGCUCCUUGGCGAGCUGCCACAGCUAUGUAUUCUUCGGGUCAAGCAGCUUCAAGAUGGCGAGCUUCAUUUCCAUGUCAUUAGGAAUGGACUUGAGGACCACUCAUUUGAAAAGGUCAAGGUCCUCCAUAUUGCUUCUGGUGGCAGCUCCAGCAGCUUACAUGUGAAAUUUGGAUCAGAAACAAUGAAGAAACUCGAGCUGCUCAAGGUUGACUGCUGCGGUGGAUCGCCGACAUAUCAGUUCUCUAGCCUGGAGAACCUAGAAGAACUCAAGCAAGUCUUGCUAGUGAACGGUUCCAACGCUCAAGCACUGAAGGAACAACUUGAAAGCCAGCUUGCCGAGCAUCCAAACUUGGUGAAACCUGUUGUGGAGCUGGAGGAACCACCACACUCGUCCUGA
RNAcentral lists this ribosomal RNA (3816 nucleotides) under Triticum aestivum (bread wheat). RNAcentral's name for it is "partial small subunit ribosomal RNA". The record is from RNAcentral. Lineage: Eukaryota; Viridiplantae; Streptophyta; Magnoliopsida; Poales; Poaceae.